AGUGAACGCUGGCGGUAGGCCUAACACAUGCAAGUCGAACGGCAGCACAGUAAGAGCUUGCUCUUACGGGUGGCGGGUGGCGGACGGGUGAGGAAUACAUCGGAAUCUACUUUUUCGUGGGGGAUAACGUAGGGAAACUUACGCUAAUACCGCAUACGCCCUACGGGUGAAAGCAGGGGAUCUUCGGACCUUGCGCGAUUGAAUGAGCCGAUGUCGGAUUAGCUAGUUGGCGGGGUAAAGGCCCACCAAGGCGACGAUCCGUAGCUGGUCUGAGAGGAUGAUCAGCCACACUGGAACUGAGACACGGUCCAGACUCCUACGGGAGGCAGCAGUGGGGAAUAUUGGACAAUGGGCGCAAGCCUGAUCCAGCCAUACCGCGUGGGUGAAGAAGGCCUUCGGGUUGUAAAGCCCUUUUGUUGGGAAAGAAAAGCAGCAGGUUAAUACCCCGCUGUUCUGACGGUACCCAAAGAAUAAGCACCGGCUAACUUCGUG
This 492-nucleotide ribosomal RNA is filed under the name uncultured bacterium. RNAcentral describes it as "partial 16S ribosomal RNA". It matches the Rfam family "Bacterial small subunit ribosomal RNA", at positions 29 to 507 of the family's 1533-position model. The record is from RNAcentral.